This 259-nucleotide long non-coding RNA is filed under the name Medicago truncatula (barrel medic). RNAcentral describes it as "long non-coding RNA (MTRU_LNC006061)". Lineage: Eukaryota; Viridiplantae; Streptophyta; Magnoliopsida; Fabales; Fabaceae. The record is from RNAcentral.
ACGAUUCAUUUCAGAGAUUGGUGGGCUUCAAUUUCGACGGAGAGUUAGAGAAAGCGACGAACACGGUUGCGGUGUGACUGAGGAUAGGUGAUGGGUGAUGGUCGUAUUGAAUUAGCAGAGGGAGAAGAAGGUGUCACGCUUCAGCCUUUAGAAAAGAAAAUGACAUGAUUGUAAUUUUCAAUUUAGCUCAGAGGUAUGAUAGUAAUUUCAACCCUAAAUUAAUGGGAUGGCCAUGGUCAUCCCCUGUCCACACGUGGCG